AACGAACGCUGGCGGCGUGCCUAAUACAUGCAAGUCGAGCGAGAAAGCCGUCUUCGGAGGUGAGUAAAGCGGCGACACGGGUGAGUAACACGUGGGCAACCUACCCUUGAGUCUAGGGAUAACCCGGGGAAAACUCGGGCUAAUACCAGAUACGGCUGCGGGGUCUUCGGAUCCUGUGGAGAAAGAUGGCCUCUUCUUGAAAGCUAUC
This 208-nucleotide ribosomal RNA is filed under the name uncultured bacterium. RNAcentral's name for it is "partial 16S ribosomal RNA". It matches the Rfam family "Bacterial small subunit ribosomal RNA", at positions 29 to 216 of the family's 1533-position model. The record is from RNAcentral.